AAGAGUUUGAUCCUGGCUCAGAUUAAACGCUGGCGGUAUGCUUAACACAUGCAAGUUUAACUACUUUUAAAAGUAGUAGCGAACGGGUGAGUAACAUAUUUUCAUAUACCUAUAUGAAAAUUAUAAAACUAAUAAAAUUGUUGUAAUAAUUUAUAAAAUUACUAAAUAAAUAGUAUUAAAAGAUAUUAUUAUAUAAUAAUAUCACAUAUAGAUUAUAUAAUAUCAGAUUAGCUAGUUGUUAUUUCAAAAUACUAACAAGGCAAUUAUCUGUAGUUGUUCUGAGAGGAAGUACAACCACACUGGGACUGAGACAAGGCCCAGACUCCUACGGGAGGCAGCAGUGAGGAAUAUUGGACAAUGAGCGAAAGCUUGAUCCAGCAAUACCGCGUGUGCGAAGAAGGUAUAACUGUAAAGCACUUUUUUUUAGGAAUAAGGUUUAUAACUUGAAUGUACUAAAAGAAUAAGCACCGGCUAAUUACGUGCCAGCAGCCGCGGUAAUACGUAGGGUGCAAGCGUUAAUCGGAAUUAUUGGGCGUAAAGUGUACGUAGGUUGUUUAUUAAGAAAUUUGUAAAAUAAUAAAGCUUAACUUUAUUACGCAAGUUUUACUGGUAAACUAGAGUUUAAAAGGGGAGAACAGAAUUCUAUGUGUAGCGGUGAAAUGCGUAAAUAUAUAGAAGAAUACCAAUAGCGAAGGCAGUUCUCUGGGUUAACACUGACACUAAUGUACUAAAGCGUGGGGAGCAAACAGGAUUAGAUACCCUGGUAGUCCACGCCCUAAACGAUGUCUACUAAUUGUCAGAUUUUUAUUUGGUGAUAAAGCUAACGCGUUAAGUAGACCGCCUGGGGACUACGAUCGCAAGAUUAAAACUCAAAGGAAUUGACGGGGACCCGCACAAGCGGUGGAUGAUGUGGAUUAAUUCGAUGUAACACGAAGAACCUUACCUACUCUUGACAUGUAUAGAAUUCUUUUGAAAAAAAGAAGUGCAUUUUGAACUAUAACACAGGUGCUGCAUGGCUGUCGUCAGCUCGUGUCGUGAGAUGUUUGGUUAAGUCCUAUAACGAGCGCAACCCUUAUUUUUAGUUGCUACUAUUUUAGAGCACUCUAAGAAUACUGCCAAUGAUAGUUGGAGGAAGGAGAGGAUGACGUCAAGUCCUCAUGGCCCUUAUGAGUAGGGCUUCACACGUCAUACAAUGAUUAAUACAAAAAGACGCAAAGCCGUGAGGUAAAAGCUAAUCUAUAAAAUUAAUCUUAGUUCGGAUUGCACUUUGAAACUCAAGUGCAUGAAGCUGGAAUCGCUAGUAAUCGUAAAUCAGAAUGUUACGGUGAAUACGUUCUCGGGUCUUGUACACACCGCCCGUCACACCAUGGAAGUGUAUUUUGUUGGAAAUAAUUUUUUAUAAAUUAUCAAUACAGGAUUCAUAACUGGGGUGAAGUCGUAACAAGGUAGCUGUACCGGAAGGUGCGGCUGGAU
This 1473-nucleotide ribosomal RNA is filed under the name Candidatus Vidania fulgoroideorum. RNAcentral's name for it is "bacterial SSU rRNA". It matches the Rfam family "Bacterial small subunit ribosomal RNA". The record is from RNAcentral. Lineage: Bacteria; Pseudomonadati; Pseudomonadota; Betaproteobacteria.